CACGUAGGGUGCGAGCGUUGUCCGGAAUGAUUGGGCGUAAAGCGUCCGCAGGUGGCUAUGUAAGUCUGCUGUUAAAGAGUGAGGCUCAACCUCAUAAGAGCAGUGGAAACUACAUGGCUAGAGUGCGUUCGGGGCAGAGGGAAUUCCUGGUGUAGCGGUGAAAUGCGUAGAUAUCAGGAAGAACACCGGUGGCGAAAGCGCUCUGCUAGGCCGCAACUGACACUGAGGGACGAAAGCUAGGGGAGCGAAUGGG
Molecule: ribosomal RNA, 253 nt
Filed under: uncultured bacterium
Lineage: Bacteria
Description: partial 16S ribosomal RNA
Rfam family: Bacterial small subunit ribosomal RNA
Source: RNAcentral